GGUCUGGUGGUGUAGCGAUUACACGUCCUCCUACAUUGCGGAGUAGAAACAUGAUUGGUUCUGAGGAAGUUCCCCGUUCGACUCGGGGUCAGAUCA
Non-coding RNA from Mycena alexandri, 96 nucleotides. The record is from the annotation of a GenBank genome assembly. NCBI's taxonomy places the organism in Eukaryota, Fungi, Basidiomycota, Agaricomycetes, Agaricales, Mycenaceae.